GUUUUAAUCUCUAGAUGUAUAAACCCACUUGUGUAACUCUUCUGAGGACUAAAACCAGCUUGAUUGAAUACUACAUAUGGCUUGGCAGCGUAGAUGCGGCGUUACCAAGACACUGAGCAGAGUUGUAUCAGAGUCACCUCUUUCAUCUGCAAAGGGUGCUUUGUGCAGUUGUGGAGAGGGAAGGGAAAUCUUCAUGUCAGGAAGCUCUGAGGGAAGGUGAGAGGUGUCAGCCUGGUCAUGCCUUAUCCGAAGCAAAGGGAAGACGCUCAGGUGUUUCCCUGUGAGGGUCCGAGGUGGCGUGGGUGAUGCUGGCCGCUCCUUUCAAGCUUGGACCUAAUUUGCAGGUCCAGAGGC
This is a non-coding RNA of Anas platyrhynchos (mallard), 354 nucleotides long. The record is from RefSeq and is a predicted model, not a curated record. NCBI's taxonomy places the organism in Eukaryota, Metazoa, Chordata, Aves, Anseriformes, Anatidae.